UGCGGCAGCUACACAUGCAGUCGAGCGGUAGAGAGGUGCUUGCACCUCUUGAGAGCGGCGGACGGGUGAGUAAUGCCUAGGAAUCUGCCUGGUAGUGGGGGAUAACGCUCGGAAACGGACGCUAAUACCGCAUACGUCCUACGGGAGAAAGCAGGGGACCUUCGGGCCUUGCGCUAUCAGAUGAGCCUAGGUCGGAUUAGCUAGUUGGUGAGGUAAUGGCUCACCAAGGCGACGAUCCGUAACUGGUCUGAGAGGAUGAUCAGUCACACUGGAACUGAGACACGGUCCAGACUCCUACGGGAGGCAGCAGUGGGGAAUAUUGGACAAUGGGCGAAAGCCUGAUCCAGCCAUGCCGCGUGUGUGAAGAAGGUCUUCGGAUUGUAAAGCACUUUAAGUUGGGAGGAAGGGCAUUAACCUAAUACGUUAGUGUUUUGACGUUACCGACAGAAUAAGCACCGGCUAACUCUGUGCCAGCAGCCGCGGUAAUACAGAGGGUGCAAGCGUUAAUCGGAAUUACUGGGCGUAAAGCGCGCGUAGGUGGUUCGUUAAGUUGGAUGUGAAAUCCCCGGGCUCAACCUGGGAACUGCAUUCAAAACUGUCGAGCUAGAGUAUGGUAGAGGGUGGUGGAAUUUCCUGUGUAGCGGUGAAAUGCGUAUAUAUAGGAAGGAACACCA
RNAcentral lists this ribosomal RNA (674 nucleotides) under Pseudomonas sp. EA_R_51. RNAcentral describes it as "bacterial SSU rRNA". It matches the Rfam family "Bacterial small subunit ribosomal RNA", at positions 38 to 711 of the family's 1533-position model. The record is from RNAcentral. Lineage: Bacteria; Pseudomonadati; Pseudomonadota; Gammaproteobacteria; Pseudomonadales; Pseudomonadaceae.